CAUGCAAGUCGAGGGGCAGCAUGGUCUUAGCUUGCUAAGGCUGAUGGCGACCGGCGCACGGGUGAGUAACACGUAUCCAACCUGCCGUCUACUCUUGGCCAGCCUUCUGAAAGGAAGAUUAAUCCAGGAUGGGAUCAUGAGUUCACAUGUCCGCAUGAUUAAAGGUAUUUUCCGGUAGACGAUGGGGAUGCGUUCCAUUAGGUAGUAGGCGGGGUAACGGCCCACCUAGUCAACGAUGGAUAGGGGUUCUGAGAGGAAGGUCCCCCACAUUGGAACUGAGACACGGUCCAAACUCCUACGGGAGGCAGCAGUGAGGAAUAUUGGUCAAUGGGCGAUGGCCUGAACCAGCCAAGUAGCGUGAAGGAUGACUGCCCUAUGGGUUGUAAACUUCUUUUAUAAAGGAAUAAAGUCGGGUAUGCAUACCCGUUUGCAUGUACUUUAUGAAUAAGGAUCGGCUAACUCCGUGCCAGCAGCCGCGGUAAUACGGAGGAUCCGAGCGUUAUCCGGAUUUAUUGGGUUUAAAGGGAGCGUAGAUGGAUGUUUAAGUCAGUUGUGAAAGUUUGCGGCUCAACCGUAAAAUUGCAGUUGAUACUGGAUGUCUUGAGUGCAGUUGAGGCAGGCGGAAUUCGUGGUGUAGCGGUGAAAUGCUUAGAUAUCACGAAGAACUCCGAUUGCGAAGGCAGCCUGCUAAGCUGCAACUGACAUUGAGGCUCGAA
RNAcentral lists this ribosomal RNA (716 nucleotides) under uncultured bacterium. RNAcentral describes it as "bacterial SSU rRNA". It matches the Rfam family "Bacterial small subunit ribosomal RNA", at positions 54 to 757 of the family's 1533-position model. The record is from RNAcentral.